UACGAGGAUAGAGGAGCGACGUUUAUUAGUAUCUGUAUUGAUGUAAGCAAAAUGAUGUACAGUGAAAGGGAAUGUCGCCGAAGUAUACAGCUGAUGCUUUAAGGCUGUAUAACUGGUUUUAUUUCAGAAUAUGAGUAAGACUGUCACAAAUUAUUUUGUGGAGAGCUAUCAUUCAA
RNAcentral lists this non-coding RNA (176 nucleotides) under Clostridium tetanomorphum. Its description in RNAcentral is "Lysine sequence". It matches the Rfam family "Lysine riboswitch aptamer". Rfam says of the family: Riboswitches are metabolite binding domains within certain messenger RNAs that serve as precision sensors for their corresponding targets. Allosteric rearrangement of mRNA structure is mediated by ligand binding, and this results in modulation of gene expression. The record is from Rfam by way of RNAcentral. Lineage: Bacteria; Bacillati; Bacillota; Clostridia; Eubacteriales; Clostridiaceae.